GACGAACGCUGGCGGCGUGCUUAACACAUGCAAGUCGAACGGAAAGGCCCUGCGUUUGUGGGGUGCUCGAGUGGCGAACGGGUGAGUAACACGUGAGUAACCUGCCCUUGACUUUGGGAUAACUUCAGGAAACUGGGGCUAAUACCGGGUAGGAGCUCCUGCUGCAUGGUGGGGGUUGGAAAGUUUCGGCGGUUGGGGAUGGACUCGCGGCUUAUCAGCUUGUUGGUGGAGUAGUGGCGUACCAAGGCUUUGACGGGUAGCCGGCCUGAGAGGGUGACCGGCCACAUUGGGACUGAGAUACGGACCAGAAUCCUACGGGAGGCAGCAGUGGGGAAUAUUGCACAAUGGGCGGAAGCCUGAUGCAGCAACGCCGUGUGCGGGAUGACGGCCUUCGGGUUGUAAACCGAUUUCGCAUGUGACGAAGCGUGAGUGACGGUAAUGGGUAAAGAAGCACCGGCUAACUACGUG
This 468-nucleotide ribosomal RNA is filed under the name uncultured bacterium. RNAcentral describes it as "partial 16S ribosomal RNA". It matches the Rfam family "Bacterial small subunit ribosomal RNA", at positions 28 to 507 of the family's 1533-position model. The record is from RNAcentral.